RNAcentral lists this ribosomal RNA (253 nucleotides) under uncultured bacterium. RNAcentral describes it as "partial 16S ribosomal RNA". It matches the Rfam family "Bacterial small subunit ribosomal RNA", at positions 524 to 776 of the family's 1533-position model. The record is from RNAcentral.
UACGUAGGGGGCAAGCGUUAUCCGGAUUUACUGGGUGUAAAGGGAGCGUAGGUGGCAGGGCAAGUCAGAUGUGAAAACCCGGGGCUCAACCUGUGGCCUGCAUUUGAAACUGUUUUUCUUGAGUGCUGGAGAGGCAAUCGGAAUUCCGUGUGUAGCGGUGAAAUGCGUAGAUAUACGGAGGAACACCAGUGGCGAAGGCGGAUUGCUGGACAGUAACUGACGCUGAGGCGCGAAAGCGUGGGGAGCAAACAGG